RNAcentral lists this ribosomal RNA (335 nucleotides) under uncultured bacterium. RNAcentral's name for it is "bacterial SSU rRNA". It matches the Rfam family "Bacterial small subunit ribosomal RNA", at positions 568 to 898 of the family's 1533-position model. The record is from RNAcentral.
CGCGUAGGCGGCUUCUUAAAAGUCGGUUGUGAAAGCCCCGGGCUCAACCCGGGGAGGCCAGCCGAUACUGGGGGGCUUGAGUGCAGGAGAGGGAAGCGGAACUGCCGGUGUAGCGGUGGAAUGCGUAGAUAUCGGCAGGAACACCCGCGGCGAAGGCGGCUUCCUGGACUGCUACUGACGCUGAGGCGCGAAAGCCAGGGGAGCGAACGGGAUUAGAUACCCCCGGUAGUCCUGGCCCUAAACGAUGGUCACUAGGUGUCGCGGGUAUCGACCCCUGCGGUGCCGCAGCUAACGCAGUAAGUGACCCGCCUGGGGAGUACGGCCGCAAGGUUGAA